RNAcentral lists this ribosomal RNA (441 nucleotides) under uncultured bacterium. RNAcentral describes it as "bacterial SSU rRNA". It matches the Rfam family "Bacterial small subunit ribosomal RNA", at positions 47 to 533 of the family's 1533-position model. The record is from RNAcentral.
CGGCUACCAUGCAGUCGAGCGCCCCGCAGGGGGAGCGGCAGACGGGUGAGUAACGCGUGGGAAUCUACCCAUCACUACGGAACAACUCCGGGAAACUGGAGCUAAUACCGUAUACGUCCUUCGGGAGAAAGAUUUAUCGGUGAUGGAUGAGCCCGCGUUGGAUUAGCUAGUUGGUGGGGUAAUGGCCUACCAAGGCGACGAUCCAUAGCUGGUCUGAGAGGAUGAUCAGCCACACUGGGACUGAGACACGGCCCAGACUCCUACGGGAGGCAGCAGUGGGGAAUAUUGGACAAUGGGCGCAAGCCUGAUCCAGCCAUGCCGCGUGAGUGAUGAAGGCCCUAGGGUUGUAAAGCUCUUUCAACGGUGAAGAUAAUGACGGUAACCGUAAAAAAAGCCCCGGCUAACUUCGUGCCAGCGCCCCGGGGAAAAUAAACGUAAAGU